UGUGUUAAAAGUGUCUGAAAUAUAGUUAUUUUAUCCGCACUAUUUUCAAACAACCAAUACUGGAUAUAUGAAACAAAAUGAAACAUCUUCUCACUAUCAGAAUUGCUCCAGAGUGCCAGGAUUCUGCCUGAGGAGCAGCCUGUGGUGUCUCCCAUCCCCUGUCCUGUUCCUCCCCAGCGGGGCCAAACUCCAUCUCAAACACACUGCAAGUAGAAAAGUCAGCUUUCUCGCCAUUAAAGAGCCAGAGCCUCACACGGAGAAGGACCAAACCACAGUGAACUCCUGUCCUCAGCCACACAGAUUCACUGCCUUCUACAGGAUGCUGACACUGAGUUAAGGCAUCAAGAGUCUGGCAGAGCCCUGAGUAGG
Long non-coding RNA from Columba livia (rock pigeon), 369 nucleotides. RefSeq lists it as uncharacterized. Lineage: Eukaryota; Metazoa; Chordata; Aves; Columbiformes; Columbidae. The transcript is spliced from 3 exons. The record is from RefSeq and is a predicted model, not a curated record.